UCGAGAAUCUUCGGCAAUGGGCGAAAGCCUGACCGAGCGAUGCCGCGUGCGGGAUGAAGGCCCUCGGGUUGUAAACCGCUGUCGUAGGGGAGGAAGGUUCCGUGAAGAGCGGAAUUUGACCUAUCCUAGGAGGAAGUACGGGCUAAGUUCGUGCCAGCAGCCGCGGUAACACGAACCGUACGAACGUUAUUCGGAAUUACUGGGCUUAAAGGGUUUGUAGGCGGCCUUGUAAGUCAGGUGUGAAAGCCCU
This 250-nucleotide ribosomal RNA is filed under the name uncultured bacterium. RNAcentral's name for it is "partial 16S ribosomal RNA". It matches the Rfam family "Bacterial small subunit ribosomal RNA", at positions 355 to 604 of the family's 1533-position model. The record is from RNAcentral.